AAAUGGGAAUAACAGUUUAUCUCAUCAGUAGUAUCUCGACAGUGCAGUGCUUCGGCCGCUCCACGGAUCCAGGCGCCGCCUUUCCAGCCUCCUCUUGUAUCCUCUGCUCUCUAACUGUAAGUCCUCCGCCGCCGCCUUCUCCUCCUCCUCCUGCUGCUUCAAAUUUCAACACUCCACCGAACCUCUGACCUCACCACCUCCUAGCUCCUACUUCUCUUCUUUUCGCCAUCUAAUUUCACUUUUGUUUUCUGAAUUCGAAUUUGGGGAUUUAGGAGUUAGGGAUUCAGUUAAUUUGCUGAAUUAUUCGAUUAAGUGAUUCAAUUAUUGUUAUUUGUGUGCUGUGGCUUUGUGAAUUAUCAAGGGGACCUUUUGUUUUCAGUUGAUCCUUGUAUGAUUUUAUUUUGAAUGGACAUGGUGGUGUUGUACUUGAUAAUGUAGAUGAAGGUGUUGUUUUAAUUAUAGAAUGGGUCGGAAAGUUGGUACCGUAUACAUAAAUCCAAAAAAAUUUGGAACUUUUCACAAACCUUGCAUGAAGGAAAUGAUAGCAUUUCUCAACUGCCUGGCUGCUAACCAGCUCUGUGAUGAUAAGUGUGUCAGCAGAAGGAACUUUUGGGUACUUGUAUGGAGGCUCAGAGCAACAAAAACAGAAAGUCAAUGGGAAGCAUCAAUUACCACUUGCAGAGGCUGAGCAGGGGAAGGAAGUAGUUUGGUUUUGUAGGGAACGUCGUUUAAAUUGAUAUAUGAUUAUUUGUAGUCAUUAGUGACAGAGGCUUCGCAUGGAGAUUGUUUAUAUUGUGACAACCGAGAACGUUCACGGGAUAAUUUCCCUGUUUGAGAUUCAAUAGGUAUGGGAAGUUCUGGACAUUAUUUUGAACAUUUCUGUUGCAGCUUAGUUUGAUAUAAGGAAACUUUUCAUUAAUUUGUAAACCCAAGUCUUUGCCUUGGUAGAACAAAGGCUUAAUUUAUCUUUAUUUUUCAGUAAA
Pyrus x bretschneideri (Chinese white pear) is the source of this 983-nucleotide RNA transcript. RefSeq lists it as uncharacterized. The record is from RefSeq and is a predicted model, not a curated record. The transcript is spliced from 2 exons. NCBI's taxonomy places the organism in Eukaryota, Viridiplantae, Streptophyta, Magnoliopsida, Rosales, Rosaceae.